CCUACGGGAGGCAGCAGUGAGGAAUAUUGGUCAAUGGACGAGAGUCUGAACCAGCCAAGUAGCGUGAAGGAUGACUGCCCUAUGGGUUGUAAACUUCUUUUAUAUGGGAAUAAAACAGGGUAUGCAUACCCUCUUGUAUGUACCAUAUGAAUAAGGAUCGGCUAACUCCGUGCCAGCAGCCGCGGUAAUACGGAGGAUCCGAGCGUUAUCCGGAUUUAUUGGGUUUAAAGGGAGCGUAGGUGGAUUGUUAAGUCAGUUGUGAAAGUUUGCGGCUCAACCGUAGAAUUGCAGUUGAAACUGGCAGCCUUGAGUACAGUAGAGGUGGGCGGAAUUCGUGGUGUAGCGGUGAAAUGCUUAGAUAUCACGCAGAACUCCGAUUGCGAAGGCAGCUCACUGGACUGCAACUGACGCUGAUGCACGAAAGUGUGGGUAUCGAACAGGAUUAGAUACCCGUGUAGUC
Molecule: ribosomal RNA, 460 nt
Filed under: uncultured bacterium
Lineage: Bacteria
Description: partial 16S ribosomal RNA
Rfam family: Bacterial small subunit ribosomal RNA
Source: RNAcentral